GAACCCUACGGGACGCAGCAGUGGGGAAUAUUGCACAAUGGGGGAAACCCUGAUGCAGCAACGCCGCGUGAGUGAGGAAGUAUUUCGGUAUGUAAAGCUCUAUCAGCAGGGAAUAGAAAAGAAGGUACCUGAAAAAGAAGCCCCGGCUAACUACGUGCCAGCAGCCGCGGUAAUACGUAGGGGGCAAGCGUUAUCCGGAUUUACUGGGUGUAAAGGGAGCGUAGACGGAAAGGCAAGUCAGAAGUGAAAAACCAAGGCUCAACCAUGGGACGGCUUUUGAAACUGUCAAACUAGAGUAAGGGAGG
Molecule: ribosomal RNA, 305 nt
Filed under: uncultured bacterium
Lineage: Bacteria
Description: bacterial SSU rRNA
Rfam family: Bacterial small subunit ribosomal RNA
Source: RNAcentral